Molecule: long non-coding RNA, 232 nt
Filed under: Theobroma cacao (cacao)
Lineage: Eukaryota; Viridiplantae; Streptophyta; Magnoliopsida; Malvales; Malvaceae
Description: long non-coding RNA (TCAC_LNC004076)
Source: RNAcentral
UGAUUGAUGGAUUAGAAUCAUAGCGGCUGGAUAAAAAAGAUCAGUAAAAAUUAUAAGGGUCUGCUGCUAAUGAUGAAGCUGAGCUUAUGGUUCAAUAUGUUCCCCUAAAGCAGGAAAGAAAAGACUUCCAGUGCUGUGAAUCUCUCUCCACUAAGCUAUUCUGGCUACUUCAUAAAAACUUCCCUCGGUGGGUUCGGGACGUUCAACAUCACUGAAAUUUCGGAUCCAUGCU